Molecule: small RNA, 261 nt
Filed under: Carlito syrichta (Philippine tarsier)
Lineage: Eukaryota; Metazoa; Chordata; Mammalia; Primates; Tarsiidae
Description: 7SK RNA (ENSTSYG00000021739.2)
Rfam family: 7SK RNA
About the family: 7SK was discovered as an abundant small nuclear RNA in the mid-70s but a possible function has only recently been suggested. Two independent studies have found that 7SK RNA binds the CDK9/cyclin T complex (known as elongation factor P-TEFb).
Source: RNAcentral
GGAUGUGAGGGUGAUCUGGCUGUGACAUUUGUCACCCUAUUGAUCACCAAGGUUGAUUUGGCUGAUCUGGGUGGCUAGGUGGUUGUCCCCUUCCUCCCUUGCUGCUUGAUGUGCAUCCCUCCUGAAGCUGUGUGCUUGAAUCAAGAGGAUGACCAUCCCAGCUAGAGAACGACUGUUCUUCACUCAAGGAUAUAUCAGUAGCUGUGUUCCCCUGCCCGAACUUCCAAACACGGACUCAAGGUCUAAAAACUCCACUCCUUU